RNAcentral lists this ribosomal RNA (592 nucleotides) under uncultured bacterium. Its description in RNAcentral is "partial 16S ribosomal RNA". It matches the Rfam family "Bacterial small subunit ribosomal RNA", at positions 355 to 941 of the family's 1533-position model. The record is from RNAcentral.
UGGGGAAUUUUGGACAAUGGGCGAAAGCCUGAUGCAGCCAUGCCGCGUGUGUGAAGAAGGCCUUCGGGUUGUAAAGCACUUUCAGCGAGGAGGAAGGUGGUGGACUUAAUACGUUCAUCAAUUGACGUUACUCGCAGAAGAAGCACCGGCUAACUCCGUGCCAGCAGCCGCGGUAAUACGGAGGGUGCAAGCGUUAAUCGGAAUUACUGGGCGUAAAAGCGCACGCAGGCGGUUUGUUAAGUCAGAUGUGAAAUCCCCGGGCUCAACCUGGGAACUGCAUUUGAAACUGGCAAGCUAGAGUCUCGUAGAGGGGGGUAGAAUUCCAGGCGUAGCGGUGAGAUGCGUAGAGAUCUGGAGGAAUACCGGUGGCGAAGGCGGCCCCCUGGACGAAGACUGACGCUCAGGUGCGAAAGCGUGGGGAGCAAAACAGGAUUAGAUACCCUGGUAGUCCACGCUGUAAAACGAUGUCGAUUUUGGAGGUUGUGCCCUUGAGGCGUGGCUUCCGGAGCUAACGCGUUAAAUCGACCGCCUGGGGAGUACGGCCGCAAGGUUAAAACUCAAAUGAAUUGACGGGGGUCAUAGCUGUUUCCUG